UACAGAGGUCCCAAGCGUUGUUCGGAUUCACUGGGCGUAAAGGGUGCGUAGGCGGUUGGGUAAGUCUGACGUGACAUCUCCGGGCCUAACCCGGAAACUGCGUCGGAUACUAUCCGGCUAGAGGAUUGGAAGGGAGACUGGAAUACUUGGUGUAGCAGUGAAAUGCGUAGAUAUCAAGUGGAACACCAGUGGCGAAGGCGAGUCUCUGGACAAUUCCUGACGCUGAGAUACGAAAGCGUGGGGAGCAAACAGG
This 253-nucleotide ribosomal RNA is filed under the name uncultured bacterium. RNAcentral's name for it is "partial 16S ribosomal RNA". It matches the Rfam family "Bacterial small subunit ribosomal RNA", at positions 524 to 776 of the family's 1533-position model. The record is from RNAcentral.